AACUUUCAACAACGGAUCUCUUGGUUCUCGCAUCGAUGAAGAACGCAGCGAAAUGCGAUAAGUAAUGUGAAUUGCAGAUUUUCGUGAAUCAUUGAAUCUUUGAACGCACAUUGCGCCCUCUGGUAUUCCGGAGGGCAUGCCUGUUUGAGCGUCAUUUCC
Molecule: ribosomal RNA, 159 nt
Filed under: Ogataea pilisensis
Lineage: Eukaryota; Fungi; Ascomycota; Pichiomycetes; Pichiales; Pichiaceae
Description: 5.8S ribosomal RNA
Rfam family: 5.8S ribosomal RNA
About the family: 5.8S ribosomal RNA (5.8S rRNA) is a component of the large subunit of the eukaryotic ribosome. It is transcribed by RNA polymerase I as part of the 45S precursor that also contains 18S and 28S rRNA.
Source: RNAcentral